RNAcentral lists this ribosomal RNA (497 nucleotides) under uncultured bacterium. RNAcentral describes it as "partial 16S ribosomal RNA". It matches the Rfam family "Bacterial small subunit ribosomal RNA", at positions 28 to 507 of the family's 1533-position model. The record is from RNAcentral.
GAUGAACGCUGGCGGCGUGCCUAAUACAUGCAAGUCGAGCGAACAGACGAGGAGCUUGCUCCUCUGACGUUAGCGGCGGUCGGGUGAGUAACACGUGGAUAACCUACCUAUAAGACUGGGAUAACUUCGGGAAACCGGAGCUAAUACCGGAUAAUAUAUUGAACCGCAUGGUUCAAUAGUGAAAGACGGUUUUGCUGUCACUUAUAGAUGGAUCCGCGCCGCAUUAGCUAGUUGGUGAGGUAACGGCUUACCAAGGCAACGAUGCGUAGCCGACCUGAGAGGGUGAUCGGCCACACUGGAACUGAGACACGGUCCAGACUCCUACGGGAGGCAGCAGUAGGGAAUCUUCCGCAAUGGGCGAAAGCCUGACGGAGCAACGCCGCGUGAGUGAUGAAGGUCUUCGGAUCGUAAAACUCUGUUAUUAGGGAAGAACAAAUGUGUAAGUAACUAUGCACGUCUUGACGGUACCUAAUCAGAAAGCCACGGCUAACUACGUG